Vicia faba (fava bean) is the source of this 222-nucleotide non-coding RNA. Lineage: Eukaryota; Viridiplantae; Streptophyta; Magnoliopsida; Fabales; Fabaceae. The record is from the annotation of a GenBank genome assembly.
AUGUUACUACAAACCAAAAUCAUGUACAUGAAGAAAAUAGAUGGCCUCAACUCUAAACAGAAUAUCAGAGAAAAUAUUGCUAACCCAAGAAAGACACCAAACCAUCCAAAACUAAUCAGCAUCAUGAAACCAACCAAACACGUCAAAACCAGGCCCUCCAGUUGUUUAAGUCAAACAAUUAAUCAAAAAAUAUCCAUCGCCUACACAAUCAGUUCACAAUAA